This 453-nucleotide ribosomal RNA is filed under the name uncultured bacterium. RNAcentral describes it as "bacterial SSU rRNA". It matches the Rfam family "Bacterial small subunit ribosomal RNA", at positions 340 to 786 of the family's 1533-position model. The record is from RNAcentral.
UACGGGAGGCAGCAGUGGGGAAUAUUGCACAAUGGGCGCAAGCCUGAUGCAGCCAUGCCGCGUGUAUGAAGAAGGGCCUUCGGGUUGUAAAGUACUUUCAGUCGUGAGGAAGGUGUUAAGGUUAAUAACCUUAGCAAUUGACGUUAGCGACAGAAGAAGCACCGGCUAACUCCGUGCCAGCAGCCGCGGUAAUACGGAGGGUGCGAGCGUUAAUCGGAAUUACUGGGCUAAAGGGCACGCAGGCGGUUAAUUAAGUUGGAUGUGAAUCCCCGGGCUUAACCUGGGAAUGGCAUUCAAGACUGGUUAGCUAGAGUCUUGUAGAGGGGGUAGAAUUCCAUGUGUAGCGGUGAAAUGCGUAGAGAUGUGGAGGAAUACCGGUGGCGAAGGCGGCCCCUGGACAAAGGACUGACGCUCAUGUGCGAAAGCGUGGGGAGCAAACAGGGAUUAGAUACC